RNAcentral lists this ribosomal RNA (474 nucleotides) under uncultured organism. RNAcentral's name for it is "partial 16S ribosomal RNA". It matches the Rfam family "Bacterial small subunit ribosomal RNA", at positions 333 to 798 of the family's 1533-position model. The record is from RNAcentral.
ACACUCCUGCGGGAGGCAGCAGUGGGGAAUUUUGGACAAUGGGCGAAAGCCUGAUCCAGCAAUGCCGCGUGUGUGAAGAAGGCCUUCGGGUUGUAAAGCACUUUUGUCCGGAAAGAAAUCCUUGGCUCUAAUACAGUCGGGGGAUGACGGUACCGGAAGAAUAAGCACCGGCUAACUACGUGCCAGCAGCCGCGGUAAUACGUAGGGUGCGAGCGUUAAUCGGAAUUACUGGGCGUAAAGCGUGCGCAGGCGGUUUGCUAAGACCGAUGUGAAAUCCCCGGGCUCAACCUGGGAACUGCAUUGGUGACUGGCAGGCUAGAGUAUGGCAGAGGGGGGUAGAAUUCCACGUGUAGCAGUGAAAUGCGUAGAGAUGUGGAGGAAUACCGAUGGCGAAGGCAGCCCCCUGGGCCAAUACUGACGCUCAUGCACGAAAGCGUGGGGAGCAAACAGGAUUAGAUACCCCUGUAGUCCCAU